CCUACGGGCGGCAGCAGUGGGGAAUAUUGCACAAUGGGGGAAACCCUGAUGCAGCGCUGCCGCGUGGAGGAAGAAGGUUUUCGGAUUGUAAACUCCUUUUAUCAGGGACGAUAAUGACGGUACCUGAAGAAAACGCUCCGGCUACAUACGUGCCAGCAGCCACGGUAAUACGUAGGGAGCGAGCGGUGGCCGGAAUUACUGGGUGUAAAGGGAGCGUAGGCGGGACGGCAAGUCAGAUGUGAAACCUGACGGCUCAACUUUCGGACUGCAUUUGAAACUGCUGUUCUUGAGUGAAGUAGAGGUAAGUGGAAUUCCAAGUGUAGCGGUGAAAUGCGUAGAUAUUAGGAGGAACAUCAGUGGCGAAGGCGGCUUACUGGGCUUUUACUGACGCUGAGGUUCGAAAGCGUGGGGAGCAAACAGGAUUAGAUACCCGUGUAGUC
RNAcentral lists this ribosomal RNA (440 nucleotides) under uncultured bacterium. Its description in RNAcentral is "partial 16S ribosomal RNA". It matches the Rfam family "Bacterial small subunit ribosomal RNA", at positions 338 to 795 of the family's 1533-position model. The record is from RNAcentral.